Molecule: unclassified non-coding RNA, 469 nt
Filed under: uncultured Glomus
Lineage: Eukaryota; Fungi; Glomeromycota; Glomeromycetes; Glomerales; Glomeraceae
Description: SSU rRNA
Rfam family: Eukaryotic small subunit ribosomal RNA
Source: RNAcentral
AGCAGCCGCGGUAAUUCCAGCUCCAAUAGCGUAUAUUAAAGUUGUUGCAGUUAAAAAGCUCGUAGUUGAAUUUCGGGAUCAAUAUGUUGGUCGUGCCUCGGUACGUACUAGCUUAUUGGUUUCUCCUUUCUGAAGAACCAUGAUGUCAUUUAUUUGGUGUCGUGGGGAAUCAGGACUGUUACUUUGAAAAAUUAGAGUGUUUAAAGCAGGCUCACGCUUGAAUACAUUAGCAUGGAAUAAUGAAAUAGGACGUUUGAUUCUAUUUUGUUGGUUUCUAGGAUCGACGUAAUGAUUAAUAGGGAUAGUUGGGGGCAUUAGUAUUCAAUUGUCAGAGGUGAAAUUCUUGGAUUUAUUGAAGACUAACUACUGCGAAAGCAUUUGCCAAGGAUGUUUUCAUUAAUCAAGAACGAAAGUUAGGGGAUCGAAGACGAUCAGAUACCGUCGUAGUCUUAACCAUAAACUAUAGCCG